RNAcentral lists this ribosomal RNA (273 nucleotides) under uncultured bacterium. RNAcentral's name for it is "partial 16S ribosomal RNA". It matches the Rfam family "Bacterial small subunit ribosomal RNA", at positions 524 to 796 of the family's 1533-position model. The record is from RNAcentral.
UACGUAGGGUGCGAGCGUUAAUCGGAAUUACUGGGCGUAAAGCGUGCGCAGGCGGAUUGUUAAGCAAGAUGUGAAAUCCCCGGGCUCAACCUGGGAAUGGCAUUUGUGACUGUAUAGCUAGAGUACGGUAGAGGGGGAUGGAAUUCCGCGUGUAGCAGUGAAAUGCGUAGAUAUGCGGAGGAACACCGAUGGCGAAGGCAGCCCCCUGGGAUAACACUGACGCUCAUGUACGAAAGCGUGGGUAGCAAACAGGAUUAGAUACCCGCGUAGUCC